Non-coding RNA from Picea glauca (white spruce), 119 nucleotides. Lineage: Eukaryota; Viridiplantae; Streptophyta; Pinopsida; Pinales; Pinaceae. The record is from Rfam.
GGGUGCGAUCAUACCAGCGUUAAUGCACCAAAUCCGAUAAAAACUCCACAAUUAAGCGCGCUUGGGCUAGAGUCGUACUGGGAUGGGUGACCUUCUGGGAAGUCCUAGUGUUGAACCCU